GAGAUCGGGAUAACACCUGGAAACAGAUGCUAAUACCGGAUAACAAUAGAUGAUGCCUAUCAACUGUUUAAAAGAUGGUUCUGCUAUCACUCUUGGAUGGACCUGCGGUGCAUUAGCUAGUUGGUAGGGUAACGGCCUACCAAGGCGAUGAUGCAUAGCCGAGUUGAGAGACUGAUCGGCCACAUUGGGACUGAGACACGGCCCAAACUCCUACGGGAGGCAGCAGAG
Molecule: ribosomal RNA, 228 nt
Filed under: uncultured Lactobacillus sp.
Lineage: Bacteria; Bacillati; Bacillota; Bacilli; Lactobacillales; Lactobacillaceae
Description: partial 16S ribosomal RNA
Rfam family: Bacterial small subunit ribosomal RNA
Source: RNAcentral